RNAcentral lists this ribosomal RNA (467 nucleotides) under uncultured bacterium. RNAcentral's name for it is "bacterial SSU rRNA". It matches the Rfam family "Bacterial small subunit ribosomal RNA", at positions 28 to 507 of the family's 1533-position model. The record is from RNAcentral.
GAUGAACGCUGGCGGCGUGCCUAACACAUGCAAGUCGAACGGACUUAGAUGAAACCUAGUGAUUCUAAGUUAGUGGCGGACGGGUGAGUAACGCGUGGGUAACCUGCCUCACACUGGGGGAUAACAGUUAGAAAUGACUGCUAAUACCGCAUAAGUGCACAGUAUCGCAUGAUACAGUGUAAAAAACUCCGGUGGUGUGAGAUGGACCCGCGUCUGAUUAGCUAGUUGGCAGGGUAACGGCCUACCAAGGCGACGAUCAGUAGCCGACCUGAGAGGGUGACCGGCCACAUUGGGACUGAGACACGGCCCAAACUCCUACGGGAGGCAGCAGUGGGGAAUAUUGCACAAUGGGCGAAAGCCUGAUGCAGCGACGCCGCGUGAGUGAAGAAGUAUUUCGGUAUGUAAAGUUCUAUCAGCAGGGAAGAUAAUGACGGUACCUGACUAAGAAGCACCGGCUAAAAUACGUG